UGUGUUUAAUACAUGCAAGUCGAGCGGCCAUUUAUGGCAGCGGCGAACGGGUGAGUAACGCGUUGGGAUCUGCCCCGAACUCAGGGAUAACAUCGAGAAAUCGGUGCUAAUACCGGAUAGUCUCGCAAGAGUAAAGAUUUUCGGUUCGGGAGGAACCUGCGCCCUAUUAGCUAGUUGGUAAGGUAAUGGCUUACCAAGGCGAUGAUGGGUAGCUGGUCUGAGAGGAUGAUCAGCCACAAUGGGACUGAGACACGGCCCAUACUCC
This 265-nucleotide ribosomal RNA is filed under the name uncultured bacterium. RNAcentral's name for it is "partial 16S ribosomal RNA". It matches the Rfam family "Bacterial small subunit ribosomal RNA", at positions 43 to 339 of the family's 1533-position model. The record is from RNAcentral.